ACGCUCGACACCUACGGGAGGCAGCAGUAGGGAAUCUUCCACAAUGGACGCAAGUCUGAUGGAGCAACGCCGCGUGAGUGAAGAAGGUUUUCGGAUCGUAAAGCUCUGUUGUUGGUGAAGAAGGAUAGAGGUAGUAACUGGCCUUUAUUUGACGGUAAUCAACCAGAAAGUCACGGCUAACUACGUGCCUGCAGCCGCGGUAAUCUGAGCGGGCUGGCAAGGC
This 223-nucleotide ribosomal RNA is filed under the name uncultured bacterium. RNAcentral's name for it is "partial 16S ribosomal RNA". It matches the Rfam family "Bacterial small subunit ribosomal RNA", at positions 328 to 539 of the family's 1533-position model. The record is from RNAcentral.